UACGUAGGGUGCAAGCGUUAAUCGGAAUUACUGGGCGUAAAGCGUGCGCAGGCGGUGAUGUAAGACAGGUGUGAAAUCCCCGGGCUUAACCUGGGAACUGCAUUUGUGACUGCAUCGCUGGAGUGCGGCAGAGGGGGAUGGAAUUCCGCGUGUAGCAGUGAAAUGCGUAGAUAUGCGGAGGAACACCAGUGGCGAAAGCGGCUUCCUGGUCCGACACCGACGUUCAGGCACGAAAGCGUGGGGAGCAAACAGG
This 253-nucleotide ribosomal RNA is filed under the name uncultured bacterium. RNAcentral's name for it is "partial 16S ribosomal RNA". It matches the Rfam family "Bacterial small subunit ribosomal RNA", at positions 524 to 776 of the family's 1533-position model. The record is from RNAcentral.